Molecule: ribosomal RNA, 591 nt
Filed under: uncultured bacterium
Lineage: Bacteria
Description: bacterial SSU rRNA
Rfam family: Bacterial small subunit ribosomal RNA
Source: RNAcentral
UACUCCUACGGGAGGCAGCAGUGGGGAAUAUUGGACAAUGGGCGAAAGCCUGAUCCAGCCAUGCCGCGUGUGUGAAGAAGGUCUUCGGAUUGUAAAGCACUUUAAGUUGGGAGGAAGGGCAGUAAGUUAAUACCUUGCUGUUUUGACGUUACCAACAGAAUAAGCACCGGCUAACUUCGUGCCAGCAGCCGCGGUAAUACGAAGGGUGCAAGCGUUAAUCGGAAUUACUGGGCGUAAAGCGCGCGUAGGUGGUUCAGCAAGUUGGAUGUGAAAUCCCCGGGCUCAACCUGGGAACUGCAUCCAAAACUACUGAGCUAGAGUACGGUAGAGGGUGGUGGAAUUUCCUGUGUAGCGGUGAAAUGCGUAGAUAUAGGAAGGAACACCAGUGGCGAAGGCGACCACCUGGACUGAUACUGACACUGAGGUGCGAAAGCGUGGGGAGCAAACAGGAUUAGAUACUCUGGUAGUCCACGCCGUAAACGAUGUCGACUAGCCGUUGGGAUCUUUGAGAUCUUAGUGGCGCAGCUAACGCGAUAAGUCGACCGCCUGGGGAGUACGGCCGCAAGGUUAAAACUCAAAUGAAUUGACGGA